Molecule: transfer RNA, 72 nt
Filed under: Stegodyphus mimosarum
Lineage: Eukaryota; Metazoa; Arthropoda; Arachnida; Araneae; Eresidae
Rfam family: tRNA
About the family: Transfer RNA (tRNA) molecules are approximately 80 nucleotides in length. Their secondary structure includes four short double-helical elements and three loops (D, anti-codon, and T loops).
Source: Rfam by way of RNAcentral
GCCUUCGUGGUGUAAUGGUCAGCCCACUUGGUGUGUAUCGAGAUGUCCGAGGUUCGAGUCCCGGCAAAGGCA